Molecule: small nucleolar RNA, 110 nt
Filed under: Hydnomerulius pinastri MD-312
Lineage: Eukaryota; Fungi; Basidiomycota; Agaricomycetes; Boletales
Description: Small nucleolar RNA Z13/snr52
Rfam family: Small nucleolar RNA Z13/snr52
About the family: Z13 or snr52 is a member of the C/D class of snoRNA which contain the C (UGAUGA) and D (CUGA) box motifs.
Source: Rfam by way of RNAcentral
CACCACAUUAUGAUGAAGUAUUACGGAUGUAAAAGAGUCAAAGACUCGCAUGUCCGAGAGCGCAUAAACCCCAUGUGGAUUUUUCCGUUGCCUUCCUUCUGACUCGCGAU